Molecule: unclassified non-coding RNA, 473 nt
Filed under: Amphiachyris dracunculoides
Lineage: Eukaryota; Viridiplantae; Streptophyta; Magnoliopsida; Asterales; Asteraceae
Description: partial external transcribed spacer
Source: RNAcentral
GUGCAUGAGUGGUGUUUGGUUUGAUACGGGUGGUUGGCUCCCUGCUUGAGCAUGCACGGCCACGCGUGCAUUCCUCUUCAGCUGUGCGACAAGGCUUGUAUCGUCUUGGUCGUAUAAGUGGGUUUCCUGUGUUGCAUACCAGAUCAAUGGCAUCGUCUUGAUCAAAAGUGUAAUUUUCGUCCGGCGAUGCACUUGCGUUGUCGGAUGAACCACGUAGCAUUCUCUUUGGUCCAUACAGCUGACGUGCUUUCGUUGGUUGUUUGGCCCAUUGAGGGUGACUCGGUCUCUCGGAUAUGGAAGCUAAAGUGGGCAUUGGUCGCAAGAUCUAUCUCGUCCUCAUUGAGCGUUCUCACUUCUCUCACACGACCGCCUUUCACGUAUGGCACGUCUCAGCGUGUUUGGCUACGUCUAAGAGGGAUGUUGGGCGUUCUUGCUUUUCUUACACGACUGCCUUUCACGUAUGGCACGUCUCA